This 912-nucleotide long non-coding RNA is filed under the name Homo sapiens (human). Its description in RNAcentral is "HSALNT0332412". The record is from RNAcentral. Lineage: Eukaryota; Metazoa; Chordata; Mammalia; Primates; Hominidae.
GGCCAGAUCCGAUGAAUUUAAAUUUUCCAUUAACAUAUAAUAGGUUUAGACUAUAAAUCCCUUUGAGCGUGGGAAUCAGUGAGGAAAAACAACACUCUGGAAGCUAUUGCUCAAAUAAGCUCAAACACUUAUUUUAGAAUAUACCAUGCCUGUAAAGAGAAAGAUAAUACAUUUUAUGUGUGUCAAUUUUUAAAAAAACAGCAAGAUUUUUAAAAAGCCAUUUUAUCUCUGAGAGAUUCAAUGACCAUGUUUGAUGACAAGCCAGAUGGCAGCAUUCCCUAGACCCGGUGCCAAGACACAUGACAGGAGCCGCAAUUUACCUUCCGUGGUGAGGCUAGCUGCUGAAGCACACCACAGCUGCAGGCGAGCGGGCUGCUGCCGGUAGGUGCAAGCACAGUUGGUUCCCUCCCAAUUUGGAUGCAGCAGGUGUGAGUGAAGUGCUUGGCUCUGCGAGAUGGUCCUGGAAUAUCUUCACCACUCUUCACAAUUACGUCCUCUUGCAUUCCCACUGAUCCUUCAGAAUUGUGUGGCCUUUCAACUUUCUGAAAGGCCUUCACUGUCUCUUAAUUCAAAUUCUCCACAUGUAAAUACAAGUCAGAUCACCUUACAAUUUAAUCUUUAAGCAAAACUGUAAAUCAUCAUUUCCCGCGACAUUACAAUUGUUGGGGGAAAGGUGUUUGGUGUCACAUCUAAUGGCUUGAAAACUCGGAGCAUCUCUGGACACAGUCAAUAUCCAGGUCUCAAAUAUGCAUUUACUGUGUUUAUUAUAAUGACUGCCUUUGUAUUCACUGCAAUCAUUUUCUACUGUUUCUUCCUUUGUGUAAUCAUUUCUUCCCUUCCCCUCCAUUGUAUUUUUUUAGAGUAAUUCUAUAUUCUGUUUUUGAAUACACACUUCUCUUUCUUUUAAAAUAA